This 305-nucleotide ribosomal RNA is filed under the name uncultured bacterium. RNAcentral's name for it is "bacterial SSU rRNA". It matches the Rfam family "Bacterial small subunit ribosomal RNA", at positions 336 to 639 of the family's 1533-position model. The record is from RNAcentral.
UUCCUACGGGGGGCAGCAGUGAGGAAUAUUGGUCAAUGGGCGAGAGCCUGAACCAGCCAAGUCGCGUGAGGGAAGACGGUCCUAUGGAUUGUAAACCUCUUUUGCCGGGGAGCAAAAAGCGGUACGUGUACCGCAUCGAGAGUACCCGGAGAAAAAGCAUCGGCUAACUCCGUGCCAGCAGCCGCGGUAAUACGGAGGAUGCGAGCGUUAUCCGGAUUUAUUGGGUUUAAAGGGUGCGUAGGCGGAAUGCCAAGUCAGCGGUAAAAUCGCGGGGCUCAACCUCGCUCCGCCGUUGAAACUGGCGU